AUAUUUUCGAGUUGAUGCGUG
Non-coding RNA from Caenorhabditis elegans, 21 nucleotides. The record is from Ensembl. Lineage: Eukaryota; Metazoa; Nematoda; Chromadorea; Rhabditida; Rhabditidae.